This is a non-coding RNA of Salmo salar (Atlantic salmon), 913 nucleotides long. Lineage: Eukaryota; Metazoa; Chordata; Actinopteri; Salmoniformes; Salmonidae. The record is from RefSeq and is a predicted model, not a curated record.
CAGAUCCUGAGUUACCUGGUUGCCAGUGACCGUCUGUGUGCGCUGGGCUACGAAGAGGCUCAGGUGGAGGAGGCCAUGGAGAUGUUCCAGAACUGUGAGAGCAAGGCUGGUGAAUUCCUGCAGCUCCUGGCUCAGUUCAAUGAGAUGGGCUUCCAGCAGAGUGCCAUCAAAGAGGUUCUACUGGUCCACGAGAACCACAGGGAGAGGGCCCUGGAGGAUCUCAUGACACAGCACAACUAAUGGCUGUUAUACCAGAGGUUCUACUGAUCCACGAGAACCACAGGGAGAGGGCCCUGGAGGAUCUCAUGACACAGCACAACUAAUGGCUGUUAUACCAGAGGUUCUACUGAUCCACAGGGAGAGGAUCUCAUGACCCAACGGAGGGCUCUUUUCAUUUCUAAAUUUGAGGGCAAUGUUUCCGUGUGAGCAGAGAUCGCAUUCACGGUAAACGCUGCAGAUGUCGGCUUAAUAGGAAAAUACCAUUAUACCGCUGAGAAGUUAUGGAGAUAAAUGUGCAGCAAUAUAGUGAACUUUUACUGGGUCAUGUUCAGUAGGGCACACCGUAGCAGAACAUUUUGAAACAAAACAAGUGUGGCAGUCCGUUUAUGAACACAGCCAUGGGUUUUACUCCAUCAGAAUAUAGAUUCAAAAGAUAUGAUGGAUUAUUGAUUUGCAAGUAAACAUUUUCACCCCGUUGCCUUGACUUUUUCACUUGCAUUCACAAUAAUACUGUAAAAACAUUAAGACAACAGAAAUAGAUGCUCAUUUGGAAACAUUUAAUUACGGUUUGCAAAUCACCAACAGUCAAGGAGUUUGACAAUGUGAUGUCACAUUGGUACCCCCCCCCAAAAAAUGGAAAAGGUGACUAUUUAAAUGUAGUGUAAAGUCAAUGAUCAUUAUUUGCUACAAGCCC